UAGGGAAUCUUCCGCAAUGGACGCAAGUCUGACGGAGCAACGCCGCGUGAGUGAAGAAGGAUUUCGGUUCGUAAAACUAUGUUGUUAGAGAAGAACAGCGCAUAGAGUAACUGUUAUGCGUGUGACGGUAUCUAACCAGAAAGCCACGGCUAACUACGUGCCAGCAGCCGCGGUAAUACGUAGGUGGCAAGCGUUGUCCGGAUUUAUUGGGCGUAAAGCGAGCGCAGGCGGUCAAUUAAGUCUGAUGUGAAAGCCCCCGGCUCAACCGGGGAGGGUCAUUGGAAACUGGUUGACUUGAGUACAGGAGAGGAGGGUGGAAUUCCAUGUGUAGCGGUGAAAUGCGUAGGUAUAUGGAAGAACACCAGUGGCGAAGGCGACUCUCUGGUCUGUAACUGACGCUGAGGCUCGAAAGCGUGGGUAGCAAACAGA
This 429-nucleotide ribosomal RNA is filed under the name Bacteroidota bacterium. RNAcentral describes it as "Bacteroidetes bacterium partial 16S ribosomal RNA". It matches the Rfam family "Bacterial small subunit ribosomal RNA", at positions 355 to 776 of the family's 1533-position model. The record is from RNAcentral. Lineage: Bacteria; Pseudomonadati; Bacteroidota.